GUACGGGAGGCAGCAGUGGGGAAUAUUGGACAAUGGGCGAAAGCCUGAUCCAGCAAUGCCGCGUGAGUGAAGAAGGCCUUAGGGUUGUAAAGCUCUUUCGCCUGCGACGAUGAUGACGGUAGCAGGAGAAGAAGCCCCGGCUAAUUCCGUGCCAGCAGCCGCGGUAAUACGGAAGGGGCUAGCGUUGUUCGGAAUCACUGGGCGUAAAGCGCGCGUAGGCGGCUCUACAAGUGCGGCGUGAAAGUCCUGGGCUCAACCUGGGGACGGCGCUGCGGACUGUUGGGCUAGAGUCCGGAAGAGGGUGGUGGAAUUCCGAGUGUAGAGGUGAAAUUCGUAGAUAUUCGGAGGAACACCGGUGGCGAAGGCGGCCACCUGGUCCGGCACUGACGCUGAAGCGCGAAAGCGUGGGGAGCAAACAGGAUUAGAUACCCUAGUAGUCC
This 440-nucleotide ribosomal RNA is filed under the name uncultured bacterium. RNAcentral's name for it is "bacterial SSU rRNA". It matches the Rfam family "Bacterial small subunit ribosomal RNA", at positions 339 to 796 of the family's 1533-position model. The record is from RNAcentral.